GUAGGUGACCAGUAUGGCAGGAAACAAAGUUGGUUCCUUUUGGAACUGUGGAAAUAAUUUCUUAUAGAAAGCUGAUACUCUCACGAGGCAUUGAUUAAAGCUACUCUCAGCAUCCUGGAUGGAGCACAGGAGAGGUUGCACUUAUUUGGUUGCCAUUAUUUUCAUUACUAGUGCUUAGAUCCCAAAUCUUUGAUGGAAAAAUUCCCUAAAUGUCUAUCUAAACUUGGAAAGGCAACUGAGGUACUGUAAGGAGUUACAUAACUAGAUCUCUUCACAGGGUAAGCACCUACAUGCAUUUUUCCUGAAAUAUGGUUCUCUACUA
This 322-nucleotide long non-coding RNA is filed under the name Crocodylus porosus (Australian saltwater crocodile). Its description in RNAcentral is "lncRNA (ENSCPRG00005003864.1)". Lineage: Eukaryota; Metazoa; Chordata; Crocodylia; Crocodylidae. The record is from RNAcentral.